This 6785-nucleotide long non-coding RNA is filed under the name Phaseolus vulgaris (common bean). RNAcentral describes it as "long non-coding RNA (PVUL_LNC001008)". The record is from RNAcentral. Lineage: Eukaryota; Viridiplantae; Streptophyta; Magnoliopsida; Fabales; Fabaceae.
AGCAACAAAGGACUUUUGUUAGCGCAUCAUGAAUGAGUUCCAUGCUUCUCCUUAUGGCGGCCACUCCAGUUUUAAACUGACCCUCAAGCGCAUAUCCGUUUCCUUCUACUGGCCGAAAUGGACAUGAGACGUCCAUAGCUUCGUCCAACUAUUCUCCGUGUGUCAGAAAAACAAAUACAUGCCAACAAAAUUCAAGGUUUACUUCAACCAUUACCAAUUCCAGAACAAGUAUGGGAAGAUAUAUCAAUGGAUUUUAUUACUCACCUUCAAAGUUCAGCUGGCCACUCGAUCAUUUGGGUCAUCUGUGACAGAUUAACAAAAUAUGCCCACUUCCUAGCUCUUCCUACGCACUUCACAGCCCAACAGCUAGCCAAACGAUUUUCAGUGGAAAUAUGCCGACUCCAUGGUCUACCAAAAACCAUCGUCUCCGACUGCGACCCCUUGUUCGUCAGUACCUUCUGGCAACACCUAUUCAAGGCACAAGGAACCACGUUAAAAUUCAGCUCGUCAUACCACCCACAAACUGACGACCAAACGGAAGUGUUGAAUAGAGGGUUAGAAGUGUACCUCAGGUGCUUUGUGGGAAAUCAACCGGACAAAUGGUAUCAAUUUCUUCACUUGGCAGAGUUAUGGCACAACACCACCCACCAUUCGGCUAUAGGAACCUCACCCUUCCAUGCUCUGUAUGGUGGACAACCACCCACUGUUGUCGACUUCGUGCGCACCCUACAAGACGGUGCAACCAUUUCGGGGUCGUUAUCCGAACACAUCGUCGUCCUUCAGGAGCUCCAGGAGCACUUGCAUCUUACAAGGAAGCGAAUGUGUGACCAAGCGAAUCAACACCGCACAGAUCGGAGUUUCGCACCAGGAGAUUAGGUGUGGGUUUUCCUCCAACCCUACAGGCAACGAACCUUGGAACGACGUACACACCAAAAGAUGGGACUGCGCUUCUCAGGCCCAUACAAGGUAUUACGCCGCAUCGAAUCCGCCGCGUACGAGCUACAACUGCCAGCGACCGCCCACGUCCACCCUGUUUUUCAUGUGUCGCUACUGCGAAUUUUGAAAGGGACUUUUGAAGAAGCUCCUUUAGUUUCUACCAAGUCCGCAAACAACUGCCCAACAACACUUAACUCACAUUCAAAAACCAGUCAAAACCUUCUGAACGCACCGCCCUAAGAGUCCAAUAACAACGAGACAAGUGUGGUGGAACCCUAGAACCUCGAGCCCAUCACGCACGUGCCUACCCCACCUUUUACCCCCACACUUUCUAACUAUCUGCACACGCAUCCUGCCACAACCAUUACCGCAUGCCACGUGUAAAGGAACGUGCAACAGCCACAACGUCCCCAAACAUUGAGCCCAACGCCCAUAAUGCAUCCCACGCACCCUAACCCUAAUGCAAUCGUGACACAUACCUUGGCAAACCCUAAUGCACUAGCGAUGCAUACCUUAACAAACCCUAAUGUGCCAAUGACGCAUCCUACCCAACCCAGUGCCCAAGCCCAAAUCCAAUGUGCCCAACCCAACAAGCCUACACAAUGUCAAUUCGCACCCCGUUCUAAAUAUCCCCACACACCACCCAAUGCUCCAGACACGUCUCAACUGGGCCACAUCCAGCCCAACACCUCUCCACUGGCCCAUUAGACUCCAAGAUUGUACUUUGAGGACAAAGUGCUUCCUGAGUCGGAGAGUAAUGUUAGAAUGAUUAAUUACACAAGAACAAGACAAAAAUAACAACCUAAUUGGAUGAAAGAUUUUAUAUUGGGUUAAGUCCAUGCCUUUUUAUUUUGCCAUUUUAUUUAGUAUGUUGUUUUUUAGUUUCAGUUGUUGCUUUAAUUUUAAGAAUUGUAAGGCCCAUGGCCCUUAAGUCUGUAUGAAUGAAGACAAAAGUUUUUUUUGUGAUAACCCUAGUUUUAGUAUAACAGUAACAAAGGUCUAUAAUUGGUGCUUUCAUUGAUAUGGCUCCCAAACUAUCAUCCAAGGACAUGGAAGAGUUCAUCCACACCAUCCAAGCUCAACUCACCCUGAUUCAAAACCAAUUAAAGGACACCUCUAGCAAAGAGUCUACCCUAGAAGCAAAGAAUGACAACCUCCACUCCUAUGUCACAUCACUGCUGGAUCAAGUCACCCUCCUCACACACCCUGAAAAUCCAAAUCCUCUGCAUCACCACCAAACAAGUCCUCUAUCAUCGCAUUCUCACUCCCACUAGCAACAACCCCCUUCUCUACAACCACCAACACUUACCCUACCUUUUUUUGAAGGUACCAAUCCUCUGGACUGGCUUUUUCAGGCAGAUCAUUAUUUUUCAUUCUAUCAAAUUCCCCUAGACCAGCGUUUGCUCAUGGUGGGAUUCCACAUGCAGGGAGAUGCUCUCUCCUGGUUUAAAUGGCUGCACAACAAUAACCUCCUCAUAGAUUGGCAAUCAUUCACAAGGGCCUUGGAGCUCCGUUUUGGCCCAUCAACAUAUAUCAAUCACCAAGUUGAGUUAUUCAAACUCCAACAAACCUCCACAGUCACAGAAUACCAAGGCAGGUUUGAACAUUUAUACAACUGUGUGGUGGGUCUCACUCCCGAGACUAUACUUAAUUGCUUCAUUUCUGGUUUGAGUAUUGACAUUCGCAGAGAGCUCACUAUAUUAAAUCCUUACUCUAUAGCCCAAGACAUAGGACUAGCCAAGCUUAUUGAAGACAAACUCAGAGAUUCUAAACCUAAACAACACCGUUUUAGCCCACCACCACACCACACCACCACUACUUCUUCAUUCACAAACACUAGACCUAAUACCCUUACCCUACCCCACCAUCAGAUCAAAUACCCAUAAAACGUCUCUCAUCUUCCCAAAUGCAAGAACGACGUGCCCUAGGUCUAUGCUACAAUUGUGAUGAAAAGUUCUUUCCUGGCCAUAAGUGUACUACAUCUCGUUUUUUACUUCUCUUGGAUGAUCCUGAUACCUUAAAUGAACCCACCGAGCAAUUCGUCUCACCCUCCGAAUACACUACUCCCCUCCAUUUUCACAUCUCCCCACAAGCCAUCUCAGGUACCAUUUCCCCAAAAACCCUCAAAUUCAUAAGUUUAAACCGCAAUCUUCCAGUCACCGUUCUUAUUGAUUCAGGUAGCUCGCACAACAUCCUUCAACCACGUAUCGCCUGCCAUUUACACCUAACCAUAUCUCCUAGCCCACCACUAUCUGUUAUGGUUGGUAAUUGGGCUUUCAUCUAGUGUCAAGGACUUUGCCCAUAAGUGGAUAUCUCACUCAACACUCCACCUUUACUAUCCUUUUUUACCUUCUUCCCAUUGAAGGUGUGGAUGUUGUCCUUGACAUAGAUUGGUUAAGUACACUGAGAUCCAUCCAUGAAGAUUUCGCAAUCCCCAGCAUAGCUUUCACACACAACAAUCAACAAAUUACCCUCCAAGCCUCCACCUCACCCACCCCAACAACUACCACUUACCACCAAUUUUGUCACUAUAUAUCUAAUAACUCUAUUGCAUCCCUUCACCUCUUAUCGGUGGAAAACCAGCCCAGCUCAACCACAUACACAACCAUUGCUCACCCCUCCUCUUCGUUAGACAAUCUACCCUCACCCAUUCAAUCCCUCCUUCAGAAAUACCACACUAUCUUUCAAAAACCUCACGGGUGACCACCAUAUCCCGUUGUUACCUAAAACCUCACCCAUCAAGCUAAAACCCUAUCGCUACUCACACCACCAUAAGGAAGUAAUCACUGUUCUCAUAUAUGAAUGUUGCAAGAGGGUAUUAUCCAACCCAGUACAAGCCCUUUUUCUUCCCCGUGCUGCUAAUAAAAAAAAUGGUACAUGACGUUUCUGUGUUGACUAUAGAGCCCUAAAUGCGGCCACCAUUCGUGACCAUUUCCCAUUCCUACCAUUGAUGAAUGGCUAGAUGAGUUAGCCUAAGCUACUGUUUUUACUAAAAUAGAUUUACACUCUGGUUAUCACCAAAUACUUCUUGUUCCAGAAGACACUCACAAAACAGCUUUCUGCACUAUUGGGUUAACUAACGCCCCUUCUACUUUUCAGGCAGCAACAAAUGAUCUUCUCAAACCAUACCUACAAUGAUUUGUCUUAGUUUUUUUUUUAUGACAUUUUAAUUUAUAGUUCAAGCUUACAGGACCAUAUGAUUCAUCUCUAAAUUAUAUUGGAAGUGCUACACACUCAAAAUAAAAAUGUCAAGCUUUCCAAAUGCAGUUCCGCAACCGCAGAAGUAAGUUACCUAGGUCACGUAAUAUCAGCUCACAGCUCAAUGGGUCCAACCAAACCCAUAAAAGAUCAGCGCCAUACACAAUUGGCCUCAGCCACAGUCACUCACGACAUUACAGGAUUUCCUCGACCUCACCAGAUUUUAUAGAAAAUUCAUAAAGCACUACGCCACACUUGCCGCUCCUCUCACCGACUUAUUACAAAACCACAAAUUUAGAUGGACGGAGCUUGCGCAACAAGCAUUUGAAAAAUUGAAAUUAAACAUGACACAAAUGCCUACUCUACACCUCCUUGACUUCAAGCUUCCAUUUGUGGUAGAAACUGAUGCCUCUGCAGUGGCCGUUGGAGACCAUCCUAUUGCCUUCUUCAGCAAAAAGAUGAAACCCCAAGCUCCAAGCUUCUUCCGUUUAUGUCCGUGAGAUGUAUGCCAUCACAGAGUCAGUAAAAAAAUGGCGUCAGUAUCUCAUAGGACAACAUUUCACAAUAUCAAAGAUCAGAAAAGUCUCAACACCCUUCUUGCCCAAACCAUACAAACCCCAAAACAACAAAAAUGGACAGCUAAAUUACAGGGAUAUGAUUUCCAAAUAAUUUACCGACCUGGAUGGGAAAAUGCGGCGCCUGAUGCUCUUUAAAGAAUGGAUCAGGAACCCACACUCACCAUGCUGGCAGUUUCGUUCCCAAUGCCUCAGUUGAUUCAAGAACUCCAAAAAAUUUUGACACCGCAGAAGGCCAGGAGGUGAUCCAGGCAUGGGAAACCAAGAGCAACCAAGUCUUUUUUCCAUAGGUCAUGGGUUACUCUUUUUCCGCCUCCAAAAUUUUUGUGCCAGCAACAAAGGACUUUCGUCAGCGCAUCAUGAAUAAGUUUCAUGCUUCUCCUUAUGGCGGCCACUCCAGUUUUAAACUGACCCUCAAGCGCAUAGCCGCUUCCUUUUACUGCCCAAAAUGGACAUGAGACGUCCAUAGCUUCGUCCAACAAUGCUCUGUGUGUCAAAAAAGCAAAUACAUGCCAACAAAAAUUCAAGGUUUAUUUCAACCAUUACCAAUUCCAGAACAAGUACGGGAAGAUAUAUCAAUGGAUUUUAUUACUCACCUUCCAAGUUCAGCUGGCCACUCGGUCAUUUGGUCAUCUACGACAGAUUAACAAAAUAUGCCCACUUCCUAACUCUUCCUACGCACUUCACAACCCAACAGCUAGCCAAAUGUAUUUCAGUGGAAAUAUGCCGACUCCAUGGUCUACCAAAAACCAUCGUCUCCGACCGCGACCCCUUGUUCGUCAGUAUCUUCUGGCAACACCUAUUCAAGGCACAAGGAACCACGUUAAAAUUCAGCUCGUCAUACCACCCACAAACUGACGGCCAAACGGAAGUGUUGAACAAAGGGUUAAAAGUGUACCUUAGGUGCUUUGUGUGGAAUCAACCGAACAAAUGGUAUCAAUUUCUUCACUCGGCAAAGUUAUGGCACAACACCACCUACCAUUCUGCUAUAGGAAGCUCACCUUUCCAUGCUUUGUACGAUCGACAACCACCCAUUGUUGUCGACUUCGUGCGCACCCCACAAGACGGUGCAACCAUUCCGGGGUCAUUAUCCGAACACACCGUCGUCCUCUAGGAGCUUUGGGAGCACUUGCGUCGUAGAAGGCAACGAAUGUGUGACUAAGCGUACCAACACCGCACAGAUUGGUGUUUCGCACGAGGAGAUUGGGUGUUGGUUCGCCUCCAACCCUACAGGCAACGAACCUUGGAACGACAUACACACCAAAAGUUGGGACCACGCUUCUCAAGCCCAUACAAGGUAUUACACCGCAUCAGAGCCGUCGCGUACGAGCUACAACUGCCAGCGACCGCCUGUGUCCACCCUGUUUUUCAUGUGUUGCUGCUGCGGAUUUUCAAAGGGACUUCUGAAGAAGCUCCUUUAGUUUCUACCAAGUCUGCAAACAACUGCCCAAGAACACUUAACUCACAUUCAAAAACCAAUCAGAAACUUCUGAACCCACCGCCCUAAGAGUCCAAUAACAGCGAGACAAGUGUCGUGGAACCCCAGAACCUCGAGCCCAUCACGCACGUGCCUACCCCACCUUUUAACCCCACACUUACUAACUAUCUGCACACGCAUCCUGGCAUAACCAUUAACGGCACGCCACAUGUAAUGGAACGUGUAGUAGCCACAGCGUCCCCAGACUUUGAGCCCAACGCCCAUAAUGCAUCCCACGCACCCAAGCACCCUAACCCUAAUGCUCCAGCGACACAUACCUUAGCAAACCCUAAUGCGCCAAUGUCACAUCUUAGCCAACCCGGUACCCCAGCCCAAAUACAAUGUGUCCAACCCAACAAGUCUACACAAUGUUAGUUCGCACCCCUUCUAAAUAUCUACACACCAACCAAUGCUCCAGACACGUCUCAACUGGACCACAUCCAACCCAACACCUCCCCACCGGCCCAACAAACUCCAAGACUGCACUUUGAGGACAAAGUGCUUUCUGAGCCGGACAAUAAUGUUAGAAUGAGUAAUUACACAAGCACAAGGCCCAAAAAACAACCCAAAUGGAUGAAAGAUUUUAUAUUGGAUUAAGC